Molecule: long non-coding RNA, 715 nt
Organism: Grammomys surdaster
Lineage: Eukaryota; Metazoa; Chordata; Mammalia; Rodentia; Muridae
Exons: 4
Source: RefSeq, a predicted model, not a curated record
GGAUCUGCAAGAAUUUUCUCUAUCUUUGCAUGAGCCAUCGGGACAUCUGAGAUGACAGCUGGAACAUAAGAUUAAAGUACUCCAGGACCUUGGCAAUGUGCUAGGACCUUGAAAGGAAGCAGAGGGCUGGAGAUUAGCCAUCAACUUACAUCCAGGGAUCUGGAGCAAAGGGAGCAGUUAUCUAGUUCAGCCAGUUUGUAGCCUGCAAAGGCAGGUGUGGCCCAAUCACUGAACCGAUGCAGAAGAGCUGAGACCAGGGCAGAUCUGAGAGGGAUUUCACAUGCCUUCGGAAAUUUCUGUCCCUACCUGAAAUAGAAUUGAAUCACUUGGGAGCUUGUGACAGGAGGACCCUCAUUCAAGAGAUUCUCCUCUCACUCUGCCAGUCUCUGUCAGCCUCUGUCCUUGCUCACAGUCUUGGGAGCAAGUCUGGUUACAUUCCUGGGAGCUGCCUGGUUGGAGCAUGGAAAGAAGCAUCUGGAUGAGUUGGCUCAGUGUGGGUUAGUUCCCUCUUGCUGUGGGUCAGCCUUCAGGCAGAGCGGGCCACGUCCUGCUGCCCAAGCCUUGAAAAGGGACAGAGCUCUGUGAAAGGAUUGGUAAGCUCUGGCUUUGCCUAGAACUGUACUGAUCCUUAAGGGGUGACAUAUUGGACUGUAGAUCUAAAGCCACACUCAACGAGUUGGCGGAGUAUUAAUAAAGCCGACAUUGCUGAUUUCCA